RNAcentral lists this ribosomal RNA (425 nucleotides) under uncultured bacterium. RNAcentral's name for it is "partial 16S ribosomal RNA". It matches the Rfam family "Bacterial small subunit ribosomal RNA", at positions 354 to 796 of the family's 1533-position model. The record is from RNAcentral.
GUUAGGAAUAUUGGACAAUGGGCGCAAGCCUGAUCCAGCCAUGCCGCGUGAGUGAUGAAGGCCUUCGGGUUGUAAAGCUCUUUAGUCCACGAAUAUAAUGACUGUAGUGGAAGAAUAAGCCCCGGCUAACUUCGUGCCAGCAGCCGCGGUAAUACGAAGGGGGCGAGCGUUAUUCGGAAUCACUGGGCGUAAAGCGUGCGUAGGCUGUUUUGUAAGUCAGAAGUGAAAGACCAGGGCUUAACCCUGGAAUUGCUUUUGAAACUACAAGACUCGAAUUCGGGAGAGGAUAGCGGAAUUGUCAGUGUAGCAGUGAAAUGCGUAGAUAUUGACAGGAACACCAGUGGCGCAAGCGGCUAUCUGGACCGAUAUUGACGCUGAGGCACGAAAGCGUGGGGAGCAAACAGGAUUAGAUACCCCGGUAGUCC